AUGCCCAACUGGUUCUGGGAUUUAACUAGCCUCAAGUAUCUAGAUAUCUCGAGCAAUGGUUUCUAUGGCCCGUUUCCAGAUGGGAUAGGUAAUAUGACCUCCAUUGUGUUGCUUGAUUUAUCAGAUAAUAACCUUGUGGGCAUGAUACCUUCCAACAUGAAGAAACUGUGUAAUUUGGAGAGAUUAAUUUCUAUGAUGAACAAUGUCAAUGGAAGUAUAACAGAGUUAUUCCACCGAUUACCAAACUGUUCACAGAAUAAACUACAAUACUUGUUUGUACCGUACAACAAUCUGACUGGAAGCCUGCCAACUGCACCAGUAGAAUGCUUAAGCAACCUGAGCCAGCUGUAUCUCGCUCAUAACAGCCCAACUGGUCAUGUGCCACUGUGGAUAGGAGAGCUCAAACAGCUAACAAAUCUGGACCUUAGUUCUAACAACCUGGACGGGGUCAUACAUGAAGGUCAUUUAUCACGUCAGGAUAUGUUGGAGGAAUUGAGAUUAUCAGACAACUCCAUUACCAUCACAGUGAGCCAAACUUGGGUUCCUCCUUUCAGUCUAGGAACAAUUGAACUUCGGUCCUGUCAGCUAGGGCCAAAAUUCCCAAUGUUGCUUAGAUGGCAAACACAGGUAAUGAGUCUUGAUAUAUCAAACACAAGCAUAAAUGACAUGGUACCAGGUUGGUUUUGGAUAGCAGCUUCCUCAGCAGAUUCUCUGAACAUUCAAAAUAAUCAGAUUACAGGAGUGCUCCCAUCAACAAUGGAAUUUAUGAGAGCAACAAAUAUGAAUUUCAGUUCUAACCAACUUAGUGGUCCAAUACCUAAACUUCCCAUCACUCUGACCGGCUUGAUCUCAGUCGGAACAACCUAG
RNAcentral lists this ribosomal RNA (867 nucleotides) under Triticum aestivum (bread wheat). RNAcentral describes it as "partial small subunit ribosomal RNA". Lineage: Eukaryota; Viridiplantae; Streptophyta; Magnoliopsida; Poales; Poaceae. The record is from RNAcentral.